This 253-nucleotide ribosomal RNA is filed under the name uncultured bacterium. RNAcentral describes it as "partial 16S ribosomal RNA". It matches the Rfam family "Bacterial small subunit ribosomal RNA", at positions 524 to 776 of the family's 1533-position model. The record is from RNAcentral.
CACGUAGGGCGCAAGCGUUGUCCGGAAUUAUUGGGCGUAAAGAGCUCGUAGGCGGUCUGUUGCGUCCGCUGUGAAAACUCGGGGCUUAACCCCGAGCCUGCAGUGGAUACGGGCAGACUAGAGGUAGGUAGGGGAGAAUGGAAUUCCCGGUGUAGCGGUGAAAUGCGCAGAUAUCGGGAGGAACACCGGUGGCGAAGGCGGUUCUCUGGGCAGUAACUGACGCUGAGGAGCGAAAGCGUGGGGAGCGAACAGG